RNAcentral lists this non-coding RNA (309 nucleotides) under Gracilibacillus kekensis. RNAcentral's name for it is "Gracilibacillus sp. K170 Bacterial large subunit ribosomal RNA". It matches the Rfam family "Bacterial large subunit ribosomal RNA", at positions 2618 to 2925 of the family's 2925-position model. The record is from Rfam by way of RNAcentral. Lineage: Bacteria; Bacillati; Bacillota; Bacilli; Caryophanales; Bacillaceae.
GUCGUGAGACAGUUCGGUCCCUAUCCGUCGUGGGCGUUGGAAGUUUGAGAGGAGCUGUCCUUAGUACGAGAGGACCGGGAUGGACACACCGCUGGUGUACCAGUUGUUCCGCCAGGAGCAUCGCUGGGUAGCUACGUGUGGAAGGGAUAAGUGCUGAAAGCAUCUAAGCAUGAAGCCCCCCUCAAGAUGAGACUUCCCAUCUAUUCGAUAGAGUAAGAUCCCUCAGAGACGAUGAGGUAGAUAGGUUCGAGGUGGAAGCAUGGUGACAUGUGCAGCUGACGAAUACUAAUCGAUCGAGGACUUAUCUAU